AAUCAGUUAUGGUUCCUUAGAUCGUUCAUACUACAUGGAUAACUGUGGUAAUUCUAGAGCUAAUACAUGCAAAAAGCUCCGACCGUAUGGGAAGAGCGCUUUUAUUAGACCAAAACCAAUGGGGUCGCAAGACUCCUUUGUAUGGUGACUCUGGAUAACUUUGUGCUGAUCGCAUGGCCUAGAGCCGGCGACGUAUCUUUCAAGUGUCUGCCCUAUCAACUUUCGAUGGUAAGCGAUUUGCCUACCAUGGUUGUAACGGGUAACGGGGAAUCAGGGUUCGAUUCCGGAGAGGGAGCAUGAGAAAUGGCUACCACAUCUACGGAAGGCAGCAGGCGCGCAAAUUACCCACUCCUAGAACGGGGAGGUAGUGACGAAAAAUAACAAUACCGGACUCAAUGAGGCUCGGUAAUUGAAAUGAGUACAGUUUAAAACCCUUAACGAGGAUCUAUUGGAGGGCAAGUCUGGUGCCAGCAGCCGCGGUAAUUCCAGCUCCAAUAGCGUAUAUUAAAGUUGUUGCAGUUAAAAAGCUCGUAGUUGGAUCUCGGGUACUAGCAUGUGGUACGCUUAAUUGCUGUUACUACAUGUCUGGUCCUAAUCAACCGGUUGGCCGUUGAUGUCCUUUAUUGGGUGUUUUCGGUAGCCGGUACGUUUACUUUGAGAAAAUUAGAGUGCUUAAAGCAGGCCUUACGCCUGAAUAAUGUUGCAUGGAAUAAUAGAAUAGGACCUCGGUUCUAUUUUGUUGGUUUUGUAGAGCAUUGAGGUAAUGAUUAAUAGGGACAGACGGGGGCAUUCGUAUUGCGGUGUUAGAGGUGAAAUUCUUG
RNAcentral lists this ribosomal RNA (821 nucleotides) under Brachionus quadridentatus brevispinus. Its description in RNAcentral is "SSU rRNA". It matches the Rfam family "Eukaryotic small subunit ribosomal RNA", at positions 104 to 922 of the family's 1831-position model. Lineage: Eukaryota; Metazoa; Rotifera; Eurotatoria; Ploima; Brachionidae. The record is from RNAcentral.